Molecule: long non-coding RNA, 205 nt
Filed under: Mytilus galloprovincialis (Mediterranean mussel)
Lineage: Eukaryota; Metazoa; Mollusca; Bivalvia; Mytilida; Mytilidae
Source: RNAcentral
GCAUAGAUAAUAUUUUUAAAAUGACGACAAAAUUCAAAAUGGGGCCGUUUAACAUGUCAAAAUUUGACGUUUGUUUUUAAAAAUGGUAUAAAAAUGAUUAAAAACCAAUGGAUCAUUUAUUUCAAUACAAGCACGUUUAUACAAACAUAUUAUUAUUUAAUGUAACAGGUGACAUUAACUUUGAAAUAAAAAUGGCCGAUAAAAC